UCCGUAGGCGGUGUGGUAAGUCGAUAGUGAAAUCUCUGGGCUUAACCCAGAGGCUGCUAACGAAACUACCAUGCUAGAGUGUGAGAGAGGCGAGUGGAAUUACGGGUGUAGCGGUGAAAUGCGUAGAUAUCCGUAGGAACAUCCGAGGCGAAAGCGGCUCGCUGGAUCACAACUGACGCUGAGGGAGAAAGCUAGGGGAGACCAAACGA
This 209-nucleotide ribosomal RNA is filed under the name uncultured bacterium. Its description in RNAcentral is "partial 16S ribosomal RNA". It matches the Rfam family "Bacterial small subunit ribosomal RNA", at positions 568 to 777 of the family's 1533-position model. The record is from RNAcentral.